This 895-nucleotide ribosomal RNA is filed under the name uncultured fungus. RNAcentral's name for it is "bacterial SSU rRNA". It matches the Rfam family "Eukaryotic small subunit ribosomal RNA", at positions 527 to 1436 of the family's 1831-position model. Lineage: Eukaryota; Fungi. The record is from RNAcentral.
UUCCUAUAGGGCGAUGAUUUAGCGGCGCGAUUCGCCCUUGUGCCAGCAGCCGCGGUAAUUCCAGUCUCCAAUAGCGUAUAUUAAAGUUGUUGUGGUUAAAGAGCUCUGUAGUUGAACCUUGGGCCUGGCUGGCCGGUCCGCCUCACCGCGUGCACUGGUCCGGCCGGGCCUUUCCCUCUGUGGAACCCCAUACCCUUCACUGGGCGUGGCGGGGAAACAGGACAUUUACUUUGAAAAAAUUAGAGUGCUCCAGGCAGGCCUAUGCUCGAAUACAUUAGCAUGGAAUAAUAAAAUAGGACGCGCGGUUCUAUUUUGUUGGUUUAUAGGACCGCCGUAAUGAUUAAUAGGGACAGUCGGGGGCAUCAGUAUUCAACUGUCAGAGGUGAAAUUCUUGGAUCAGUUGAAGACUAACUACUGCGAAAGCAUUUGCCAAGGAUGUUUUCAUUAAUCAGGAACGAAAGUUAGGGGAUCGAAGACGAUCAGAUACCGUCGUAGUCUUAACCAUAAACUAUGCCGACUAGGGAUCGGACGGUGUUAUUCAUGACCCGUUCGGCACCUUACGAGAAAUCAAAGUGCUUUGGGCUCCAGGGGGAGUAUGGUCGCAAGGCUGAAACUAAAGAAAUUGACGGAAGGGCACCACCAGGGGUGGAAGCUUGCGCUUUAUUUGACUCAACACGGGGAAACUCACCAGGUCCAGACACAAUAAGGAUUGACAGAUUGAGAGCUCUUUCCUGGAUUUUGUUGGGUGGUGGUGCAUGGCCGGUCUUAGGUGGUGGGGUGGACUUGUCUUGCUUAAUUGCGAAUAACGAACGAGACCUUAAACCUGCUAAAAUAGCCCGCAUUUGCUCCGGCAGGAGCCGCUGGCUUCUUAGAAGGGGAAUUUCGGGCUCACAGG